AUAGAAAUAUUUGCCAUGAUUGUGACAGUACAAACUCUUUUUAAUUAAAUGGACACCUAAUUUAAAAUUUUGACGAAGAACAUAAACAGAUUAAAGCAAGGAAGUAUCACUUUUAUUAACAAAAAUGACAAUAGCCAUUUUCAGCAAGAGUAUGGAGUGAUGUAUACUUAUGCUUAUGUUGAGGGUAAAUUGAUAACGACUUUUUGGAAAAACGAUUUGGCCAAUCCUGAGCCUUAAAAUUGCUGUUACUCUUUGCUACAGUAAUUCUACAGGAAUAUGUUCUAUGGAAAUAGAGUUUCAUACUAUUAGGGGGCUUGUAAAGAACAGGGUUAUAUAACAUCACAUGGUAGAAGCUCAUAUGCACAUACUCAGAUCCCAGGAUGUUAUCUCACUAAAAGAACUGAGGGAGCAAGUGAGCCAUGGAGCUCUCCAUGGAAAAAGAAUUCCGUGUAGAGGGUAGAGCAAGUGCAAAGGGUCUGAGGCUAGGAAUGGACCUGGAAUGUACUGCAGCACUGUAAGGGAGGAGGAAAACAGAGUGAAAUUAAAGGUAAUAGGGCCUUGUAAGUAAUUGUAAAGGCAUUGUCUUUUAUUCUAAGUGAAGUAAAAAGCCACUGGAGGGUUUUAAGUGAUCUAACAAAUGUAAACAGGCUUAUUCUGAAUGCUGUGUUAAGAAUUGACAAAGUAGAGGCUAGAGCCAAAGCAGGGAUUCCAAUUAGGAGGUAUUGCAGUUACCCCUAAAAGAGAUAAGGUGUUAACAUAGUGUUAACAGUGAAGGUGACAGAAAUAAUCAAAUAUUGGAUAUAUUUUGACCAUGAUGAAUAUAUCAGAAAUUAAUUUUAAAACUGGACUUUAUUUAGUAUUUUAAUAGGUAAAAAGGAGGCCAAAAUCCUUUACUACUUUACAGACAGGAAGAAUUGCUUGUAAAAUCUUACAGUUGAACACAGUGUUUUAGGGACUGUGAAAUCAGUCUGUCUAGAUUAAUGUUUCAAGAUUAAUUAAAACAUUAACCUCAAAUAUCAAUGUUGAGAUUUAAGCUACUCUUAAGGGACUAGAGGGUUUUGUUUUUUCAUGUGGAUAAUAUAAAGUUCAAGUCGUGCCAUGGGAAUAGUCAUGCCCAACUUUGGGGAGUCAGGGGAGGCUUUCCAAAGAGAGAGGUUCUCAUCUUAGUCCAGAAUAAACUGCAAUAACCUGAGGGGGUGGACAAGGAGGAGUUAAAAGUGUUUCAAGCAAAGUGAGAAAAAUGCAGUUUUAGGAAUAAAUAUAGCCUAUUGGUUAAGAGCAAGGCUUCCUGAGCUGAGAUCAGUUUUUGGGAAGACAAGGUAUAUUUCUACCUAAUGUCAACAAACAUAAUCAUUGGCUCAGUGUGAACUGGGAGUAAUACAGACUCUCAUCAGCAAUUCUGGUGAGAAAAGUAUCAGACUCAGGCAGAUCCUGUCAGAAAUUCCUAUCAAAUUGAAUGAUUAAAUCCUAAUAUCUAUUGAAUAUUAAUAUGGGGUAUGCAGAGGCUGAAAAACUAUGACCCAGUCAAAAAGGCAAUGCUAUGGUGUGUUUCUGUUUCUGUCUAAUCAGGCCCUAAAAUUUGGAAUACAGACCACAAUCACUGCACCCAUAAGGUAUCCUUCACUGAACAUUAAUUGUCAGAUGAAUUAGAACUCUAACAUUCUUCAAAAUAGUUUCCUGGUGAACAGUGACAGCACAGUGGCUGAAGGAUCCAAAAGGCUCACUGGGGUUUUACCCAGAAUCUGUCCUUUACUGAUGUUAUGGGAUUGGGAUAAUCUUUUGACCUCUCUGAGCUUAAGCAGCCUCGGCUAUAAAAUAAAAUGUUGAAGUAAGAUGAGUCCUAAGGCUACUGCCCAAACAAAUUGAUCUUUUCUCUAGAAUAGUGCCUAUUCACAUAAUAAAGUAUUAAUUUUCACAGCACACUGAUUCUCAGUCUUAAAAGUUUAAUGUCAUUAAAAUUUCACAGCUGCUUUGAGAAAGGUCCCACAAGGCACAUUCUACAGUCAAGAGAAAUUGUGGCAUAGAAAAGUUCAUGAUUCACCAGAGGGUGAGAUUCCUACGAGCUUCUUAUCACAACAUUUUUGUCAACGGAUCAAUACAUAAUUUGCCUUUAAUAUGCGAUAUUAGUAUUAAACAGUAUUAAUAUAUCAUUAUAUAAUAUAUAAAAUAUAUAUAAAAUAACAUUUACUAUAUUGAUUUGUUAAUACUGAACUCACAAGACAACAGCACUAUAAUGCCUGAAGGAAGCUUCUCUUUCACAUGUAUUUUUUCCUAAGGUACAUCACAGCCCUCUUGUACUUAGGAACACUAGACAGCACCUUAGCACUAUACUUGGGACCAUUUUAAUUUUAAACAGCAAAAAUCAACAAAAAGCACAAAAAUGCUAAAACGGCACUAAAUAUAUUGUGAAUGGAUGCUUUUUAUGGUAGAAGAGCUAAAACAAGAAGGUAUGGCAUUGCUUUGUUCAACCUCAGCUGGUCACAUGCACCUUGGGCAACUUGAAAUUUGCUCUGCUCUGCACAUGUGUACAAAUGACUGGGGAAAGUGCUACAAGUAUUGAUUUUGGUUACAAAUAAAUUGUAGUGAGUAGGUGAAUUUACAAAUAUGAAAUCCAUUAGUAAUGAGGUUAAACUGUAUAUAAAAUCUAGGCAAGCCAAUCAAACAUAAAGGCAUAAGAAAGAACAAAAAAUAGGAUAAGGAAGAAAAUGUAAUCAUAGAACACUGCUUAUCUCUGUUUGGACAAUAUGGCAUAGUCAUAAAAAUGUUAUCACUGAAAAUAAAUUAACAACUGAUAGAAACUAUGUUAGUAGGAUCACGGAAGGGUAAGUGAGAGGGGGCAUAAAAACACCAAAUUUCCAUCUCCCAUAAUAGAAAAAAAGCAGAAGGAAGUACCUAAAAUUGUCAAUCUUACUGCAUAAGCGUAGUGCAGUAUUUAGAAAUAGGUAGGUAGAUACAAAAAGAAUCAGCUCAAAGUGAUUUCUCUGAGGAUCAGAGGCUAAAAUGAAGUAGGAAAUAGUGUUGCCAGAAAAAGAGGUCCCAAUCCAGACCUUAAGAGAGAACUAUUGGGUCUAAGCAGGAAGGAAUUCAAGGCGAGUUGCAGAGUACAGUGAGAAGAGAGUUUAUUGAAAGCUACCCAGAUACAGAGUAGGGUGUCCUCAGAAACGAAAUGGAGGAAUGUGCCUUCUUUGUUUUAAACUGUUCUUGUAUAGGAGUCUUAUCUAUGUUAAAACUAUUAUGUCUAUGUGGGGGUAGGCUGACAGCGUGACAAAAUUUAGUACUUUGUUUUUAAAAAGUUUUCUGUGGCAUUUUAGUGCAUAAGUACAUCAAAGCAUGACUAUAUCUUAAAAGUAUACAUUGUUAUGUGAUACUGGGACAUCUGGACAUUCUGCCAUCAUAGGAGUUUAUCCUUGCAAGCAUUACUAAACUGCUUCCUUAGCCAAAAACAUGUUAUGACUGUGCAUUGUGACUGGCCAGGAAUGUGCCUUGCUGGUUUUACGAUGGAGUUGAUUUAAAAAUAGUAUUACCGUAGCUCUCCUAUGCUCCUGUUUACUUAACAAUAAUGUGACUAGCCAGAAUCUUAACCUGGGUCAGAUGUCCCAGAAUGAAAGCAUACAUAGCUGGAUGACUCGUUCAGACCUCAGAGCUGGUACAUGUUAGAAAUGUGUUCAUUGUAGAAGCUGAAAGAAAAGUCCCAAUGGUUGAUUCUAUGAGCCCCUUGGUGAGGAACAGCUUUCUCACAGCAUGUGACAUAAUUCUGUGGCACAGCACGAUCUGUCAGUCCUGUCCUCGAAAUCUAAUAUAGCUGAGUGUUUUUCCCUCUGAGGACAAUUUACACAUUUUAUUUAUACUUCACUGUUAGUGUAAAAAGGUUGAUUUAAGACAAAGUCGAUAUCCUGUCAUAUUAUUUAUAGCAUGUUUAUCCUAUUGAUGGUUGCGGAAGCAGCACAGAUUCUUUGGCCAUUAUUAGCAGUCUUCACUCUUGAAAUACAACUUUGACAAUAUAUUAAUUAUGCCACUUUGCUAACACUGAUGUUUUGGUUAUCUAUUGCCAUUUUACCUAACGACAACCAUUUUAUUUGCUCACAAUUGUGAAAUCUGGGCUGGGCUGAGCUGAGCUGCUUGGUUCUGCUCGUCUUGCCAGUGUGCAUUCCUGUGAUUGCAUUAAGGAACAAGCUGGGCUGUGCUUUUUCUCUCUCCAUGUAGUUUCAGGACUUCUCCCUCUUCACAUAGUUUCUACAUGGCAUUUCCAGCAGAAUUCCUGGAUUCUUCCUGAGUUGCUCAGGGAUCCUAAGAGCUCAAGAGCAGAAACUUCCAGCCCUUCAUGAAAUUUCAGUGCAAACUAUCACUUCUGCCAUAUUCUAUUAGGGAAAAAGAGUCACAGGACCACCCUAGAUUCACAGGAAGGGGACUACACAACGUUAUGAACACCAAGAGGCGGUUCACGGGGAGAUGCCAGUAGAACCAGUGGUGUUCUGACAAAUUGACAGUUUUCCACUUUCCUAAGAAGAAGAAAUGGCCAAAUCCCAGGGAAUGAACAUAUGGAAGAAGAGCAACUAAAAGCUGUGAAUACACAAUUAAGAAUCAAAAGAGGAUAACCAAAAGGCCCGAUGGCAGUCUGAAACCCAGCGGCUGUAAGAUGCAAACAUCUGAAACCUGGGAUUUAAUGAAAUCACCAGAAGAGUAACCUAUUCUGUUAAUUCUGGCAUUCAAUGGAAACACCAGAAAGAGCAACCUAUUCUGGUAAGUUGGCUAAUUAAAGCCUAGAGUCAAAUUUGAC
Long non-coding RNA from Gorilla gorilla gorilla (western lowland gorilla), 4777 nucleotides. RefSeq lists it as uncharacterized. The record is from RefSeq and is a predicted model, not a curated record. Lineage: Eukaryota; Metazoa; Chordata; Mammalia; Primates; Hominidae. The transcript is spliced from 4 exons.